Molecule: ribosomal RNA, 429 nt
Filed under: Chloroflexota bacterium
Lineage: Bacteria; Bacillati; Chloroflexota
Description: Chloroflexi bacterium partial 16S ribosomal RNA
Rfam family: Bacterial small subunit ribosomal RNA
Source: RNAcentral
UGGGGAAUAUUGCACAAUGGGCGCAAGCCUGAUGCAGCCAUGCCGCGUGUAUGAAGAAGGCCUUCGGGUUGUAAAGUACUUUCAGUCGGGAGGAAGGUGGUAAGGUUAAUAACCUUAUCAAUUGACGUUACCGACAGAAGAAGCACCGGCUAACUCCGUGCCAGCAGCCGCGGUAAUACGGAGGGUGCAAGCGUUAAUCGGAAUUACUGGGCGUAAAGCGCACGCAGGCGGUUGAUUGAGUCAGAUGUGAAAUCCCCGGGCUUAACGCGGGAAUUGCAUCUGAGACUGGUCAGCUAGAGUCUUGUAGAGGUGGGUAGAAUUCCAUGUGUAGCGGUGAAAUGCGUAGAGAUGUGGAGGAAUACCAGUGGCGAAGGCGGCACCCUGGACAAAGACUGACGCUCAGGUACGAAAGCGUGGGGAGCAAACAGG